This is a long non-coding RNA of Daphnia pulicaria, 626 nucleotides long. RefSeq lists it as uncharacterized. NCBI's taxonomy places the organism in Eukaryota, Metazoa, Arthropoda, Branchiopoda, Diplostraca, Daphniidae. The transcript has 2 exons. The record is from RefSeq and is a predicted model, not a curated record.
GUUAAACUGAAGAGUGUGAAAAUCUGUAUAUGUAAAUGAUUAUAACAAGUUAACAACCCUUAUCUGGCUGUGGCUACAUGCUACAUCUUCCUUAGAAUUGAUGUGUCACCGAAAUAAGACUAUGAUUUCAUUCAUUUAAAGAUAUGCUAUGAAAAAAUAAAAAGAGCUGUAUUUAUACAUGCCUGAAUGGAUUCCUUCAAACCAGCAACCAGCAGUCAGUCAUGCUCAAUUUUUGCAUGAGCAUGUUUCAACAUUUAUUUGUACUACAGAGCACCAGAUUUCAACUGAAGGUCUCACUGAACGCUUCUUUGUUGGAAUCGUUGGUUUUGGGGUUAUUCCGAAUUUUCCUUCACCCUACCCGAAAAUGUUAUUGAACCAUAGGAUACGAAAUCAUCGUUGGUGUCAUUGCCAAAAUCAGAUAAAUUACCUUAACAUCAUUGCAGCAACAAGCCAACAACAUACCUUAUUAACAUUUUUGCAGCUUUUGAGAACUUAUCGACUGAGAAACAGAAAAGAGGUUUCUAAUAACAAGGACCACAAAGGCACAAACAUCAUGGAUUGAUGAAUUAAUAUUGAAUAUGGAUUGAUCAUGUGUUUGAAACAGAUAAGGUUGCAGUGGAAUAUUU